GCUGAAGUUUGCGCCACCGCACCCAACCGGGAAAGUCAGUCAGUCAGUCAGUCAGGUUCGACGGCAGUUUGUUUUGCUGCGCGUAAAAGUUCUAUUUUGAAUAACUCUACAUCGCUCUGCUACACGCGCUCAUGGAACGAAAAGGGGCGAGCGGCAGCUACCUGUUUUGCGAAUUAUCAUGGACUCUCCCCCCAGGUCGGGGAGUAGAACAUAAAUAAAUGGAUGGAAUAAAAAAAACUUACAGGCUAACAGGUUGUGUUGUGGCAUGUCGUUGUUUUGCGUUUGAAGUUGAGUGAGUUUCGGGCGUCAACGUACGGUUGAGUUAAAAUAUGUUUUCGUAGCAAAAUGGGCAUUUCCACGAAUAUUAGCUUUUCAGUGUUAGUAAAGGAUAUAAAUAAAGUAAAA
Long non-coding RNA from Culex quinquefasciatus (southern house mosquito), 405 nucleotides. RefSeq lists it as uncharacterized. NCBI's taxonomy places the organism in Eukaryota, Metazoa, Arthropoda, Insecta, Diptera, Culicidae. The record is from RefSeq and is a predicted model, not a curated record. The transcript is spliced from 2 exons.